AAAAGCUGCAGCAAAAGCAAAAGGGGAGUUUUGCUUGUAGAAACACCACAGGUCUCUUGUCUGCUCUCGGAAUGUUUUUGAGAUAAACCAGAUUUUAAAAAACAAAGGGAAAAAAAAAAACCACAGCUGCUUCUUUUGCUCUCUUCCUACUUUCUUGUGCUUUGCCCCUCCCCUUUCCCAGGUGAUUGGGUUUGGGUGCUGGGCGGGGCCGAAUGGUAUAUGAGCCCCAGGCAUGCUAUCAGAGAGCUCCUUCUGCUUGGGCUGCUCUUUGGGAGGACUAAAACCAGCUUGAUUGAAUGCUACAUAUGGCUUGGCAGCGUAGAUGCAGCAUUACCAAGAGACUGAGCAGGGUUGUAUCAGAGUCACCUCUUUCAUCUGCAAAGGGUGCUUUGUGCGGUCGUGGACAGGAAAGGGAAAUCCUCGUGUCGCGGAGCAGUGAGGGAAGAGUAAAAUUCCAGUUUGCCUUUUAGAGGUGCUAUAAGUGGGUAAAGAGAAGAGAUGGAAGCAUGUGCCAUGUGGGGCAGGCAAGCGGCUGAGGUACAGGAGGGGAUGAGAGUAUGUGAUUUUUUUCUGGGGAUGAAAUGGAAUUGAUUAUUUUGGUGUAUAAUCUGUUCUGCUCCUGGAUUUUUCUUUCAAUGUGAAUAAAAGUUUGAGCUAAUUCCA
Molecule: long non-coding RNA, 663 nt
Filed under: Anas platyrhynchos platyrhynchos (common mallard)
Lineage: Eukaryota; Metazoa; Chordata; Aves; Anseriformes; Anatidae
Description: lncRNA (ENSAPLG00000026212.1)
Source: RNAcentral